AGAGUUUGAUCCUGGCUCAGAUUGAACGCUGGCGGCAUGCCUUACACAUGCAAGUCGAACGGUAACGCGGGGCAACCUGGCGACGAGUGGCGAACGGGUGAGUAACGCAUCGGAACGUGCCCAGUAGUGGGGGAUAGCCCGGCGAAAGCCGGAUUAAUACCGCAUACGACCUACGGGUGAAAGCGGGGGACCGUAAGGCCUCGCGCUAUUGGAGCGGCCGAUGUCAGAUUAGGUAGUUGGUGGGGUAAAAGCCUACCAAGCCGACGAUCUGUAGCUGGUCUGAGAGGACGACCAGCCACACUGGGACUGAGACACGGCCCAGACUCCUACGGGAGGCAGCAGUGGGGAAUUUUGGACAAUGGGCGCAAGCCUGAUCCAGCCAUGCCGCGUGCGGGAUGAAGGCCUUCGGGUUGUAAACCGCUUUUGUCAGGGAAGAAACGCUCCGGGCCAAUACCCUGGGGUAAUGACGGUACCUGAAGAAUAAGCACCGGCUAACUACGUGCCAGCAGCCGCGGUAAUACGUAGGGUGCAAGCGUUAAUCGGAAUUACUGGGCGUAAAGCGUGCGCAGGCGGUUUUGUAAGACAGAGGUGAAAUCCCCGGG
Molecule: ribosomal RNA, 602 nt
Filed under: uncultured freshwater bacterium
Lineage: Bacteria
Description: bacterial SSU rRNA
Rfam family: Bacterial small subunit ribosomal RNA
Source: RNAcentral